Molecule: long non-coding RNA, 787 nt
Filed under: Microcebus murinus (gray mouse lemur)
Lineage: Eukaryota; Metazoa; Chordata; Mammalia; Primates; Cheirogaleidae
Description: lncRNA (ENSMICG00000048820.1)
Source: RNAcentral
CGAGAGCCAUAUAUAUAUACCAGCCACCGUUUGGUAUUGCUUUCACCCCGCCGCUGCCUGAACUGUCUUAAAUUGUCGUUAAAAAAAUUUUUGUUUUUUUCUCCUUCAGGGCAACAACUGCACAACUUCCCAACCCGGGAUUCGAACUCGCGGCGAGAGCCAUAUAUAUAUAUAUAUAACCGGCCACCGUUUGGUAUUGCUUUCACCCCGCCGCUGCCUGAACUGUCUUAAAUUGUCGUUAAAAAAAUUUUUGUUUUUUUCUCCUUCAGGGCAACAACUGCACAACUUCCCAACCCGGGAUUCGAACUCGCGGCGAGAGCCAUAUAUAUAUAUAACCGGCCGCCAUUUGGUAUUGCUUUCACCCUACUACUGCCUCAAUUGUCUUAAAUUGUCAUUAAAAAAAAUUGUGUUUUUUCUCCUUCAGGGUAACGACUGCACAACUUCCGAAUCGGGGAUUCGAACUCGCGGUGAGCGCCAUACAUAUAUACCCGCCGCUGCCUGAAUUGUCUUAAAUUGUCGUUAAAAAAAUUUUUUUUCUCCUUCAGGGCAACAACUGCACAACUUCCCAACCCGGGAUUCGAACCCACGGCGAGAGCCAUAUAUAUAUACCAGCUACCGUUUGGUAUUGCUUUCACCCCGUCACCCCGCCGCUGCCUGAGCUGUCUUAAAUUGUCGUUAAAAAAUUUUGUUUUUUUCUCCUUCAGGGGAGCGACUGCACAACUUCCAAACCAGGGAUUCGAACUCACGGCGAGAGUGCCGCUAGGGUGCUCCCGCUGAGGUAUCUCUU